CCCUCCGCGCCCCAGUUGGCCUGUCUUUCUAAAUAUUAGCACAAUAAAUAUAAAUGGCAUCAGAACGUGAGGGGGCAGGGGCCACGUGAUCCCUCCACGAAAGCCACAUG
Unclassified non-coding RNA from Panthera tigris altaica (Amur tiger), 110 nucleotides. The record is from Ensembl. Lineage: Eukaryota; Metazoa; Chordata; Mammalia; Carnivora; Felidae.